Molecule: ribosomal RNA, 441 nt
Filed under: uncultured bacterium
Lineage: Bacteria
Description: partial 16S ribosomal RNA
Rfam family: Bacterial small subunit ribosomal RNA
Source: RNAcentral
CCUACGGGUGGCUGCAGUGGGGGAUAUUGCACAAUGGGGGGAACCCUGAUGCAGCGACGCCGCGUGGGUGAAGGAGCGUUUCGGCGCGUAAAGCCCUAUCGGCAGGGAAGAAGGAGGACGGUACCUGACUAAGAAGCCCCGGCUAACUACGUGCCAGCAGCCGCGGUAAUACGUAGGGGGCAAGCGUUAUCCGGAUUUACUGGGUGUAAAGGGGGCGCAGACGGCAGCGCAAGCCAGGAGUGAAAGCCCGGGGCCCAACCCUGGGACGGCUUUUGAAACUGCCGGGCUGGAGUGCAGGAGAGGUGAGCGGAAUUCCUAGUGUAGCGGUGAAAUGCGUAGAUAUUAGGAGGAACACCAGUGGCGAAGGCGGCUAACUGGACUGUAACUGACGUUGAGGCUCGAAAGCGUGGGGAGCAAACAGGAUUAGAUACCCCAGUAGUC